UCUUUUUUAAACAGGUAGAGGGUUGAAGGGAGGCAGGUUUUGUGUUCUGGGUUCCUCCAUUUUGUGUAUGGCGGUGUGGUUUGUGUGCAGGUUCUGAAUGGGUUCCAGUUGACUUUCAGGAUUUUAUUUACAAGAAAAUUAUAUUAAAUAAGAACUAUACCUACCUUGGAGCAUCUCUUGGACAACUUGUUGCUGUUGGACUGCCACUGGAACUACAGAAUAAGCAUCAACAAACAAACAAACAGUCAGGUCUGUGAGGAUGAGAAGGUCUCCACAGUCUGGAGUCUGAUCUCUGACAGCCUCAACAUACCUGUCAAUCAACAGGGACUCCUCUACAAAGGCAAGGCGCUGGCAGGUAGGCUGAACAGCACAGCACAGCACAGCACAGCACAGCACAGCUCACCCCUCCUCUCACCCCUCACCUCACCCCUCCUCUCACUCCUCGCCUCACCCCGGGUCAGUGUGGCACAGCCUGCCUGCUCUUCUAAACAAACACUUCAGCCCUGCCGACGCAGUGAGAGUCUGGAGCAGCUACACAAGGUGAUGAAGUGACACUUUGAAUAUGGGGCCUGAUGAGAGAAGUAUCCUUUUCAUGUGGUUUUGGUUUUGCCGUUGUGAGCAGGUAUGGGAGACAGCACCGUGUCUGCAUGUGAAAUAACAAAGUCAUCGCAGUGGAGGGACUCUCUGAAGGCUGCUGUUUGUGGAUUUGUCUUGUAAUGUGAGUGAUCUACUGUACUGUGAUGCCACUGUCUGUACGCACGCUGCACUGCAGGGGAGACACCGCUGGCAUUCACAGGGCAUGCUUGUUCAUUUAAAGCACGCUGCACUGCAGGGGAGACACCAACCUUCUGGACAAAGCCAAAACAGAUAGAGGAGUGACCAAAGUGAUCCUAUCAUUCGGAAUCAACAACAAGGACCAGAAAGUCAAAGAGACAGCUAUCAAAAACCUACAAAGGUCAGCAAAGACAACCUUCCCAACUGCAGAAAUCAAAGUGCCACUGGUGAACUUCUCACGAGCACUAGACAUGCAGGCCCAACGGAACUUGGAAGAACUAAACGGAUUCAUCUCAGCCAACCUACCACACAUACCGCUAUUACCAACUGAGAAAUUUCAAGCUGGCGGAGACAACAUCCACUGGACAACCAACACAGCCAAAGAUAUGCUCCAGCACUGGUGCCAGCAUUUAAACUAGGAGACCCCACAAGCCCAAAUAUCUCCAGGGAGGGGGCAUCCAACAUAGUCAAUCUAUGUAAAUACUUCACACCAACAGAGAGUCAAAACAGCCUUUUGAGCAAAGGCCUCUCCUUCAUACCCACACCGCAAACUAAAGCAACACAGAAGCAGACACUGCGAGCAGAAACACAAGACUACCAUAGGAGGCUAAAAAUCGCAACCUUCUUUGAAGAGGAAGGAGACUCAAAUCACAUACCCUUCCUACCCAAAUCCAACUGGGAACCAAAUAACAACCAAGUUCCACAGGAAAUCACAGAGAUUAUUCUUGAAGAUCUAAAAACAAUACACAGCCUUAACCCAGGUAACUACAAAACAGAAGACAACCUAACAGCACCAGAAAGGAUUGCACUUAAGGAAUUACAAAAACAUACCGACAUCAUUUUCAAACCAGCAGACAAGGGAAGUUCAAUAGUAAUAAUGGAUAGAGAAGACUACAUCUUUGAAGCCAACAGACAACUAAAUAAUCAAGAACACUACAGGAAAUUAGACGCACCAAUUUAUCUUGAUUCUGCUCAGGAAAUUAACAGAAUAAUACAAACACUAACAGACC
Acipenser ruthenus (sterlet) is the source of this 1784-nucleotide long non-coding RNA. RefSeq lists it as uncharacterized. The record is from RefSeq and is a predicted model, not a curated record. NCBI's taxonomy places the organism in Eukaryota, Metazoa, Chordata, Actinopteri, Acipenseriformes, Acipenseridae. The transcript has 3 exons.